GACGAACGCUGGCGGCGUGCUUAACACAUGCAAGUCGAACGGAAAGGCCCUGCUUUUGUGGGGUGCUCGAGUGGCGAACGGGGGAGUAACACGUGAGUAACCUGCCCUUGACUUUGGGAUAACUUAAGGAAACUGGGGCUAAUACCGGAUAGGAGCUCCUGCUGCGUGGUGGGGGUUGGAAAGUUUCGGCGGUUGGGGAUGGACUCGCGGCUUAUCAGCUUGUUGGUGGGGUAGGGGCUGACCAAGGCUUUGACGGGUAGCCGGCCUGAGAAGGUGAACGGCCACCUUGGGACUGAGAUACGGCCCAGACUCCUACGGGAGGCAGCAGUGGGGAAUAUUGCACAAUGGGAGGAAGCCUGAUGCAGCAACGCCGCGUGCGGGAUGACGGCCUUCGGGUUGUAAACCGCUUUCGCCUGUGACGAAGCGUGAGUGACGGUAAUGGGUAAAGAAGCACCGGCUAACUACGUG
This 468-nucleotide ribosomal RNA is filed under the name uncultured bacterium. Its description in RNAcentral is "partial 16S ribosomal RNA". It matches the Rfam family "Bacterial small subunit ribosomal RNA", at positions 28 to 507 of the family's 1533-position model. The record is from RNAcentral.